Molecule: ribosomal RNA, 245 nt
Filed under: uncultured bacterium
Lineage: Bacteria
Description: partial 16S ribosomal RNA
Rfam family: Bacterial small subunit ribosomal RNA
Source: RNAcentral
UACAGAGGUGUCGAGCGUUGUCCGGAAUUACUGGGCGUAAAGGGCGUGUAGGUGGGCGAGUAUGUCGGAUGUGAAAUCGUCGGGCUUAACCCGGCAACCGCAUCCGAAACUGCUCGUCUUGAGUGCAGAAGAGGAGAGUGGAAUUCCCAGUGUAGCGGUGAAAUGCGUAGAUAUUGGGAGGAACACCAGUGGCGAAGGCGGCUCUCUGGUCUGCAACUGACACUGAAACGCGAAAGCUAGGGGAG